This 891-nucleotide ribosomal RNA is filed under the name Scyphophyllidium arnoldi. RNAcentral's name for it is "partial large subunit ribosomal RNA". The record is from RNAcentral. Lineage: Eukaryota; Metazoa; Platyhelminthes; Cestoda; Phyllobothriidea; Phyllobothriidae.
AACCGCAUGCAGGUAAACGGGUGGCGUCAAGCUGCGAACCCAGAGGAUUCAGCUGGCUAGGAUGUUGUGAUGCGCCUGGCGCAUCGAUCAGUCGGAAUAAGAUGUGAUAGUCCACUGGGAGACGGUGGGCCCGGCCGCAAGGCUGGGAUAUGUGUACCGGGUGUUAGCCGGAGCAUGCUAUUCAUCUGUUGGGCUGUCUAGUCAGUGCACUUUCUCUGUGGUGAACACCACGACCGGUGGAAUUGCCAGUCUGCUGUAGUCAAGUCUUGCUGAGAGGGUCCUUGUGGCCAACUUGGUAGGAUCACGGGCAAUGUCAGUGAACGGCGUAGGAGUGCCUUUGGUGUUCUUACGUGUUAUCGGCCACUGCUUGUCAACGGGCCUGCCCGGUGGUUGUUGUAACUGCCAUUGGGUGGUCUGGUGGGCUAUGGUGGUAAGAAAAACUGUGCAAGGCACCGGAGAUGUCGGCCUCAAAUGCACUCUGCACUGGCAUGUUACAAGUGCGAGGGGGUGCCAUUGCGGUCUGCCUGUUGUUGAGUCUGAUUGUCGUGUCGCCUGCGCAAAGUGGGCCCGGCAGUGGCUUGAUGCAGGACGGGCCGUGGAUGGUGUCUCUCAGGUGUAGGGUGCGGUGGGCCCAAUAGUCAGUGGUGCUGUGGUAGACGAGCUACCCGACCCGUCUUGAAACACGGACCAAGGAGUUUAACAUGUAUGCGAGUCAAGGGGUCCUACGAAACCCAAAGGCGCAGUGAAAGUAAAGCUUCGACUUGUUCUCGGAGUGAGGUGAGAUCCUGCCGUGACUCGCAUCGCUUGGUGCCAGCAUCAGGCAAAGAGCGGUAGGCGCAUCACCGGCCCGUCCCAUGAUGUGGUCAUUGGAUGUCUGCAGUCGUUGCUUGC